CAGUCGCCGCGGGAAUACGUAGGGGGCAAGCGUUAUCCGGAAUAACUGGGCGUAAAGGGUGCGCAGGUGGUUUAACAAGUUAGUGGUGAAAGGCAUAGGCUCAACCAACGUAAGCCAUUAAAACUGUUUAACUUGAGUGCAGGAGAGGAAAGUGGAAUUCCCAGUGUAGCGGUGAAAUGCGUAGAUAUUAGGAGGAAUACCAGUGGCGAAGGCGACUUUCUGGACUGCAACUGACACUGAGGCACGAAAGCGUGGGGAGCAAACAGGAUUAGAUACCCCUGUAGUCCCUGUCUCUUAUACC
This 301-nucleotide ribosomal RNA is filed under the name uncultured bacterium. Its description in RNAcentral is "partial 16S ribosomal RNA". It matches the Rfam family "Bacterial small subunit ribosomal RNA", at positions 509 to 808 of the family's 1533-position model. The record is from RNAcentral.